This is a non-coding RNA of Capsicum annuum, 107 nucleotides long. NCBI's taxonomy places the organism in Eukaryota, Viridiplantae, Streptophyta, Magnoliopsida, Solanales, Solanaceae. The record is from Rfam.
UAAUGAUGGUGAGGGUAAUUUCUGAGCAUACUAUUAAAUCUCUCCCAAGCUUGGUAGAGAUUCUCUCCCUUUUUCUGUCUAAAACUCAAAAUCUCACUUCUCAAAUG